Molecule: ribosomal RNA, 465 nt
Filed under: uncultured bacterium
Lineage: Bacteria
Description: partial 16S ribosomal RNA
Rfam family: Bacterial small subunit ribosomal RNA
Source: RNAcentral
GACGAACGCUGGCGGCGUGCUUAACACAUGCAAGUCGUACGGUAAGGCCCUUUCGGGGGUACACGAGUGGCGAACGGGUGAGUAACACGUGAGUAACCUGCCCACAACUUUGGGAUAACGCUAGGAAACUGGUGCUAAUACUGGAUAUGUGCUCCUGCUGCAUGGUGGGGGUUGGAAAGCUCCGGCGGUUGUGGAUGGACUCGCGGCCUAUCAGCUUGUUGGUGGGGUAGUGGCCUACCAAGGCGGCGACGGGUAGCCGGCCUGAGAGGGUGACCGGCCACAUUGGGACUGAGAUACGGCCCAGACUCCUACGGGAGGCAGCAGUGGGGAAUAUUGCACAAUGGGCGCAAGCCUGAUGCAGCAACGCCGCGUGCGGGAUGACGGCCUUCGGGUUGUAAACCGCUUUCAGCAGGGACGAAGCUUUUUGUGACGGUACCUGCAGAAGAAGCACCGGCUAACUGCGUG